RNAcentral lists this ribosomal RNA (829 nucleotides) under uncultured bacterium. RNAcentral's name for it is "bacterial SSU rRNA". It matches the Rfam family "Bacterial small subunit ribosomal RNA", at positions 32 to 853 of the family's 1533-position model. The record is from RNAcentral.
AACGCUGGCGGCAUGCUUUACACAUGCAAGUCGAACGGCAGCACGGGGGCAACCCUGGUGGCGAGUGGCGAACGGGUGAGUAAUAUAUCGGAACAUGUCCGGAAGUGGGGGAUAGCUCGGCGAAAGCCGGAUUAAUACCGCAUAUGCCCUGAGGGGGAAAGGAGGGGAUCCGCAAGGACCUUUCGCUUUCGGAGUGGCCGAUAUCGGAUUAGCUAGUUGGUGAGGUAAAGGCUCACCAAGGCGACGAUCCGUAGCUGGUCUGAGAGGACGACCAGCCACACUGGAACUGAGACACGGUCCAGACUCCUGCGGGAGGCAGCAGUGGGGAAUUUUGGACAAUGGGGGAAACCCUGAUCCAGCCAUGCCGCGUGAGUGAAGAAGGCCUUCGGGUUGUAAAGCUCUUUCAGACGGAAAGAAACGGUUACGGCUAAUACCCGUGACUAAUGACGGUACCGUCAGAAGAAGCACCGGCUAACUACGUGCCAGCAGCCGCGGUAAUACGUAGGGUGCGAGCGUUAAUCGGAAUUACUGGGCGUAAAGCGUGCGCAGGCGGUUUUGUAAGACAGGCGUGAAAUCCCCGGGCUUAACCUGGGAACUGCGUUUGUGACUGCAAGACUAGAGUACGGCAGAGGGGGGUAGAAUUCCACGUGUAGCAGUGAAAUGCGUAGAUAUGUGGAGGAAUACCGAUGGCGAAGGCAGCCCCCUGGGUCGAUACUGACGCUCAUGCACGAAAGCGUGGGGAGCAAACAGGAUUAGAUACCCUGGUAGUCCACGCCCUAAACGAUGUCAACUAGGUGUUGGGGAAGGAGACUUCUUUAGUACCGCAGCU